CAUCUUGUUCUCUUCAGAUCGUACAAUCUUUCGCCUUUUACUAAAGAUUUCCGUGGAGGAACAACAAGAGUAUAUCCCAUUUUUGUUGCCCUGCUUUAGUGGGGU
This 105-nucleotide small nuclear RNA is filed under the name Betta splendens (Siamese fighting fish). Its description in RNAcentral is "U5 spliceosomal RNA (ENSBSLG00000007244.1)". It matches the Rfam family "U5 spliceosomal RNA". Rfam says of the family: U5 RNA is a component of both types of known spliceosome. Lineage: Eukaryota; Metazoa; Chordata; Actinopteri; Anabantiformes; Osphronemidae. The record is from Rfam by way of RNAcentral.